UCUUGGUCUCAAGUGAUCCUCCCACCUUGGCCUCCCAAAGUGCUGGGAUUGCAGCUGUGAGCCACCACUCCCAGCCCGCAGCCCUUCUUAAGGUGGCCUAAGCAGGACUCAAAAGAGCCCAGCUGAACCUGGGAGAACCCGGGAAUCAACAGAAGAUUUUCAGCAGGAACUACGGAGCAGUUCACCACCAUAUGAAACACAAGUGGCUUUUAGAGAGAAAGGAUGCUACAGCCUGGCCUUCCUACUCCAGGCCAACAGACAAGGAGGCUCACAGAAGGGAAGCUUGCUUCGAACCCCAAGUACCUCCAAGGUCUCGUAAGACAGCACGACCCUGGACCUUGGAAGGGAGCACAGAUGGAAA
Molecule: long non-coding RNA, 361 nt
Organism: Sapajus apella (tufted capuchin)
Lineage: Eukaryota; Metazoa; Chordata; Mammalia; Primates; Cebidae
Exons: 2
Source: RefSeq, a predicted model, not a curated record